RNAcentral lists this transfer RNA (69 nucleotides) under Acontias plumbeus. Its description in RNAcentral is "tRNA-Glu". The record is from RNAcentral. Lineage: Eukaryota; Metazoa; Chordata; Lepidosauria; Squamata; Scincidae.
UGGUUUUUGUAGUUGAAGUACAACAGUGAUUUUUCGUGUCGCAGGUCUCGGGCGAUUGGCCGGGUAAAA